Molecule: ribosomal RNA, 460 nt
Filed under: uncultured bacterium
Lineage: Bacteria
Description: partial 16S ribosomal RNA
Rfam family: Bacterial small subunit ribosomal RNA
Source: RNAcentral
CCUACGGGUGGCAGCAGUGAGGAAUAUUGGUCAAUGGGCGCGAGCCUGAACCAGCCAAGUAGCGUGAAGGAUGACUGACCUACGGGUUGUAAACUUCUUUUAUAAAGGAAUAAAGUGAGGCACUUGUGCCUUUUUGUGUGUACUUUAUGAAUAAGGAUCGGCUAACUCUGUGCCAGCAGCCGCGGUAAUACGGAGGAUCCGAGCGUUAUCCGGAUUUAUUGGGUUUAAAGGGAGCGUAGAUGGGUGUGUAAGUCAGUUGUGAAAGUUGGCGGCUCAACCGUAGAAUUGCAAUUGAUACUGGCAGUCUGGAGUGCAGUUGAGGUAGGCGGAAUUCGUGGUGUAGCGGUGAAAUGCUUAGAUAUCACGAAGAACUCCGAUUGCGAAGGCAGCUUACUAAACUGCCACUGACAUUGAUGCUCGAAAGUGUGGGUAUCAAACAGGAUUAGAUACCCGGGUAGUC